GAGGACAGUGAGGAACAAGAAGGAGAAGAAGAAUGAGCUGCUCAUCAUGGACCGAGGGCAGAAUACUCGGAAGCGCAUCGCACCAAAUUUGGAGAUGGUCAUGGAUUAGAAAUUGGUUUGUAGGGAGUGGCCCAAUUUAAGAGGAAGUAUAAAUGAGAGAAUGUGAUGUAAACUUAGGAAAGGAGACGAAUUUUCUUGUUGGCAUUAUUUCCGCCGCGUGACAAAGAAAGUUGAGACAUGUUGGAAAUAUCUUCGAAGUUUGAUGUGUUAAAGAAGGUGUUAGGAAGUGCAACUAGGCAGCCAUUUGAAGAAGUUCAUGGACUUGAAAAGACUUGCACUGAUGAGGCCUCAUCUAAGAGGUGGGAAACUCUGAUCGAUAGCUAGUAGUUAUUAUAAACACUAGUCCCUGAAGAUCCAGGAAAUUAUACUCGAAACUCAAGACGUACAACUGAAUACUCAGUGGAUGUUACUCAUCAACUACAACCAAGGUCAAAUUAUACCAUGUAUUAUUUUUCUUUCUGUGCUGACAGCUCCUCCUCUCUUGGAAUUGUGACUUUUCCAGAUGCUCAUGGACAGGCUUGACGUGAAGCGCGGGGAAAAGAAAACUGGAACAGACGGCACUGGUAAUAUACUUUUCAGUCAACGAAAGACUUUUCAUUUCCAAAAAAGGCUACAGUUGUUCGAUCACCUUCACAUGGGCAUGAGAACUCGCCAGGAAGUCCAGUCCGUGGAUCAGAACAGGGAUCCGUGCAACCGUAAAAUAUGCUUAUGUUCUUGACGGCGUCAGUGUACUCGAGGAGUCUGUGAUUAUUUAUGGUCAUGUUUCGGUAAUGAUCUGGCAGGCAUGGAUCGAUCAAGAGAUCACGCCGUGCUAGAUUCAUCGUUCGAUUGGUUUGAUCGAUGUUGAAGACUAUAUAUCUCUGAUCCUCAAAAACCAUGGAAGUGGACCCAUCGCCUUCACAUAGUAGUUCAAAUCCCUCGAGACCACAAUACCCCGGUCUCCACAUACGCCUAUCAGCCAACCCCCAGAAAGGAGGCAUCACAGCAUCGCAGCAGAAAGACGAGGACAGUGAAGAACAAGAAGGAGAAGAAGAAUGAGCUGCUCAUCAUGGACUGAGGGCAGAACACUCGGAAGUGCAUCGCACCAAAUUUGGAGAUGGCCAUGGAUUAGAAAUUGGUUUGUAGGGAGUGGCCCAAUUUAAGAGAAGUAGACGAACUCUGCAGUCUGGUUGUUGAAGCCGCUCCACCCCUUUGUCUAUUCUCAUUUGGCGUGUCCCAGUCGAGAAUGAAUCCCGUGUUAGUCGCCCCGGCAAACUGGUUGUUCAAAUUCAAUUCCGUCACCUCCAUCUCCCUGACAGUCACCACCACAAUGUCCUCGCACUCCCCGGCCUAGUCUCGAACUCCUCCGAUUCCUUCCCUUGCAAGAACACAUACGAUGGCUUCCCCAUGUACUGGCCCAAGCCGAGAUAAAGCUCAUGGGGGGUGGUGCGUAGACCCCUUCAAUGCUGCAGUUGAAGUAGAAGGUGAUGUUCACGUCAUCCCCAUUGUAAUUGAGUGGGAGGGAUUCGAUGGUCACAUUGUGCUGCGCCCUUGGGCAGGGUUUCCCUGCCACAUCGACGCCGGGCGAGGGUGAUGCUCUGGGACUCAUUAUCGAUGUGCUUGAUGUAGUAGUAGUUUCCCUUGGACAGGAUAGGUGUCGUUGGAGACGGGGCAGUUGAGGUCGAAUCCCGGGUAACCACAACAAGUGCUUGGUGUGGUGGAGCCGUCGUCGAUCUUCUAGAAGGGGUAGCUGAUGGCAACACCGUUGCAAGCAGUGCUGGAGCAGUGGGAGAAGUUGGCGUCUCCACCUUGGAAAUGGAAGGUCAUGAAUAAGACACAACGAAGAAAAAGGAAGCAGAGAAGGCUCCCUAUGCAUGCAUUUGUUGAGAAUGUUAAUCUCACAUUGAAAAAUCAAAAAGAAAAUCAUGAGUUUAUACGUGACUUGUGUUC
Molecule: non-coding RNA, 1989 nt
Organism: Punica granatum (pomegranate)
Lineage: Eukaryota; Viridiplantae; Streptophyta; Magnoliopsida; Myrtales; Lythraceae
Source: RefSeq, a predicted model, not a curated record